GGUAUCAGAGCAGGUUCAGGAUUUCAAAAAAAAACAAAAAAAAGAAAAGAAAAGAAAAAAAGAGAAAUUCGGAAAAAAAAGUCUGGAGACCCAUCAAUAGAAAUUUUUCCAAAAUCAUCAUCUAUACCCUCCAAUACCCUUUCGGGUGAAAUUUGACGCUAUCAAAAAAAAAUUGACCCAAAAUUCCAAUUUUACCCCUGCACCCCGAAAACCUCAAAACCCU
This 223-nucleotide long non-coding RNA is filed under the name Gossypium raimondii (Peruvian cotton). RNAcentral's name for it is "long non-coding RNA (GRAI_LNC000579)". Lineage: Eukaryota; Viridiplantae; Streptophyta; Magnoliopsida; Malvales; Malvaceae. The record is from RNAcentral.